GGCGCGGCCAACACAGCGGCUGUGGGACUUCACCCAGAGUGGCCCCAUUGUGAGCCGGGCCACGGGCCGCUGCCUGGAGGUGGAGAUGUCCAAAGAUGCCAACUUUGGGCUCCGGCUGGUGGUACAGAGGUGCUCGGGGCAGAAGUGGAUGAUCAGAAACUGGAUCAAACACGCACGGCACUGACCCCACCUCCGCCCGGACCCCCACAGACCUCGGGAAGGCGCUGGGCCGAGCCAGUGUGGCUGAGUGACCGGGGUGUGCCCGGCAGACACAGCAGGACAGGGCUCUAUGUGCGGCCAGGACAGCAGAGGCUGAGGGGCCGGGGUGUGGCUGAGUGACCAGGGUGUCACCCACUGCAUCUGGAGUACAGCUUCUCCUAGGACAGGCGGCUCUACCCGAGGGAGGGCGUCUGGGGACAGUGAUGCCAACUCAAACACGUGCCUUCUCCACGGUAUCUCCUGGCCAGGCUGCUGGGACAGCCGCCGCCUCUGCAUGUACCACAGCCCCCCACGCCCCAUAGGGAGGCCAAGCCCCGGACCAUGCACCAGGCUGCACCCUGGUGUCUUCCACCCGCAGGCCUCCCAUGCUCCAAGCAGCCUCCCCCAGCACUUGCGGCCGCUCAGCCCUCCAACCAAGACCUAAGUCACACAUCAUAAUGCAGCUCCUUGUGGUCUGGUAAGAGGGGUGCUGGAGGACAUGGACAGCGACAAACCUGAGGCCGUGUCUAGGAGGCUGGCACGACUGCUUCAGCAGAGACCAAAUAAAGAGAGGAUUAGGCAGCAGC
RNAcentral lists this long non-coding RNA (785 nucleotides) under Homo sapiens (human). Its description in RNAcentral is "HSALNT0197748". The record is from RNAcentral. Lineage: Eukaryota; Metazoa; Chordata; Mammalia; Primates; Hominidae.